UGUAGCACUUCGCUCAUCUUUCUUGUAGUAAGUUUUGAUUAUAUCUCCUUUCCUUUUUCUACAAGGCCACCUUUCAUUGAGAUUGAUCACUUUCACAUUACGUACGAUGAGUUCUAUGAUUCCUUCAAGGCAAGGGGAUUGGUUGGUAACAAUGUAAUGGCUUUGUGGAGUUAUGAGUUCAAUCUUGACCAGCUUCAAAUGCUUAAAGAGAAUAAAACAAGAGAUAUUAAAUUUGCUUUCCCCCAGUUGGCCACGUCAUUCUUGAGUGUGGAUCCAGCUUCUUUCAGUAAUGAUGGGACUCUCAAGAAAAUUUACACCAAGAUAAAUGAAACAUGGACUAUCGCCAAGAUGGAUCUGGUACGUGAGGUGUAUAUACAUUGUUUCGUUCCAAUGAGAAAGGCCAUCAACGAAGCAAGGGCACUCAUUUCAAAUGGGCAGUACUAAUGUUACAUCUGAGUUGCUCUACUGAAACAGCAAAGUUUCAUUACUGUUACAUAUGAAGAUAUCCUAAUGAAACAGUUGUAUAUACUGUGUACAUUCGAAAGGUUGAACACUGUUACAUCUGUGAUCUUCUAUUGCAACAGCAUGGUAGCACUAUUGUUACAUCUGAAUUGCUCUAGUGAAACAGCAAUGGUUGAACACUGUUACAUCUGUGAUCUUCUAUUGCAACAGCAUGGUAGCACUAUUGUUACAUCUGAAUUACUCUAGUGAAACAGCAAUGGUUGAACACUGUUACAUCUGUGAUCUUCUAUUGCAACAGCAUGGUAGCACUAUUGUUACAUCUGAAUUACUCUAGUGAAACAGCAAUGGUUGAACACUGUUA
Sorghum bicolor (sorghum) is the source of this 823-nucleotide long non-coding RNA. RefSeq lists it as uncharacterized. The record is from RefSeq and is a predicted model, not a curated record. NCBI's taxonomy places the organism in Eukaryota, Viridiplantae, Streptophyta, Magnoliopsida, Poales, Poaceae. The transcript is spliced from 2 exons.